RNAcentral lists this long non-coding RNA (229 nucleotides) under Mytilus galloprovincialis (Mediterranean mussel). The record is from RNAcentral. Lineage: Eukaryota; Metazoa; Mollusca; Bivalvia; Mytilida; Mytilidae.
AAUUGUUUAAAUUUUCAUACUCUACUGAACAAUAUUUGUUGCAAAAUAUACCUAUUCGUUAUCGCAGUGCAUUUGCGAAAUUUAGAUGUGGAGUAGCACCUUUAAAAAUUGAAACUGGUCGUUACGAAAGAUUAGAUUUAGAUAAAAGAUUAUGUUUCAAUUGUGAUAAUAUAGAAGAUGAAAAACAUGUAUUGUUAACAUGUCCAUUAUAUGAAGAUUUAAGGCAGUC